GCGGAUGGAUCAUUUUUU
This 18-nucleotide unclassified non-coding RNA is filed under the name Dictyostelium discoideum. Lineage: Eukaryota; Evosea; Eumycetozoa; Dictyosteliales; Dictyosteliaceae. The record is from RNAcentral.